AACAGGGGAGAGUCAGGGAAAUAUCCCAACUGAGCUGAGUCCUCAGGCCCAAGUAGCUUGUGGCCACACGGAGGGAUGGGUGGCAGGGGCAGGUGUUGGAGGCAGGGUCUUUGCUGGCGCACAUGGUACCUUUGUGAGAAUUAAACCAAGGUCGCUCUCUAGGAAUAUGCAAACCCCGGCCCAUGCACACAGCUUGAUGAGCAGAGCCUGGCCUGGAUCAGAGCCUUAGCCUGGUCUCUCCAUCAGCCAUUAUCCUGCCUAUCCCAGUGUGGAGGCACCGGCACAUGCCUAAGCUCAGAAUCAUGGUAUCCAAGAUGUCCAUGUUCUAAUUCCCCGAACAUGUGACUGAGCUACUUGACAUGGUAAAUAAAAGAGGCUUUGCAGAUGUAAUUAAAUUAAGACUCUUGAGAUGGGAGAUUAUCCUGGAUUAUCUGGGGUUGGCCCUAAUGCAAUCAUCAGGGCCUUUAUCAGACAGAAGCAGGAGUGUCGGAGAGGUCCAACAGAGAAAUAGACCAGAGUUGAAGGUGCUACCUUGCUGGUGUUGAAGAUGGAGGAAGGAGCCACGUAUCAAGGAAUCAGGUGGCAUUUUGAAGCCAGAAAAGGGACUCUUGCUAUUGGAAUCCAGGCACCAUGCUGUGAGAAAGUCCAGGCCGCACGGAGAGGCCACAUAUAAGGUGUUCUGGUCCAUAGCUCCUACUAAGUGCUAGCUGGCCCCCAGCACCAGCCACCAACCAUGUGAGUUAGGAGACAUGCCAGAUGACUCUAGACCAUCUGACUGCACCUUCAUGAAGGACCCUGAAUGAGAAACACCCAGCUGAGCCUGGCUGACCCUGAGAACUGCGAGAGAUAAUAAUAAAAUGAUCAUCAUUGUUUAAAGCCA
Molecule: long non-coding RNA, 880 nt
Organism: Bubalus bubalis (water buffalo)
Lineage: Eukaryota; Metazoa; Chordata; Mammalia; Artiodactyla; Bovidae
Exons: 2
Source: RefSeq, a predicted model, not a curated record